Molecule: ribosomal RNA, 788 nt
Filed under: uncultured bacterium
Lineage: Bacteria
Description: bacterial SSU rRNA
Rfam family: Bacterial small subunit ribosomal RNA
Source: RNAcentral
AGAGUUUGAUCCUGGCUCAGGACGAACGCUGGCGGGUGCUUAACACAUGCAAGUGGAGCGACGAACCUGGCUUCGGCCAGGGGCAGAGCCGCGAACGGGUGAGUAACACGUGGGUUAUCUGCCCAGUUGACAGGGACAACCCGGGGAAACCCGGGCUAAUACCUGAUGUGCCCCUCGGGGGAAAAGGAAGCUUCGGCCUCCGCAACUGGAUGAGCCCGCGGCCCAUUAGCUUGUUGGUGGGGUAAUGGCCUACCAAGGCUGCGAUGGGUAGCUGGUCUGAGAGGACGAUCAGCCACACUGGGACUGAGACACGGCCCAGACUCCUACGGGAGGCAGCAGUGGGGAAUCUUGCGCAAUGCGCGAAAGCGUGACGCAGCAACGCCGCGUGGAGGAAGACGGCCUUCGGGUUGUAAACUCCUUUCAGUUGGGACGAAGCCUUUGCGGUGAAUAGCCGUAUGAGGUGACGGUACCUUCAGAAGAAGCCCCGGCUAACUACGUGCCAGCAGCCGCGGUAAUACGUAGGGGGCAAGCGUUGUCCGGAAUCAUUGGGCGUAAAGCGCGUGUAGGCGGCCUUGUAAGUCCGUUCUGAAAGUCCGGGGCUCAACCCCGGGAGGCGGAUGGAUACUGCAAGGCUCGAGUCCGGAAGAGGCGAGUGGAAUUCCCGGUGUAGCGGUGAAAUGCGCAGAUAUCGGGAGGAACACCAAUGGCGAAGGCAGCUCGCUGGGACGGUACUGACGCUGAGNNNGGAAAGCGUGGGGAGCAAACAGGAUUAGAUACCCUAGUAGUCC